GGCAAGGUGGCCGAGCGGUCUAAGGCGCCGUCUUCAGGAAUUCUGAAUUGGCGGUCCGAAAGGGCAUGGGUUCGAAUCCCAUCCUUGUCA
This is a non-coding RNA of Lasiosphaeris hirsuta, 90 nucleotides long. The record is from the annotation of a GenBank genome assembly. NCBI's taxonomy places the organism in Eukaryota, Fungi, Ascomycota, Sordariomycetes, Sordariales, Lasiosphaeriaceae.